Molecule: long non-coding RNA, 517 nt
Filed under: Rattus norvegicus (Norway rat)
Lineage: Eukaryota; Metazoa; Chordata; Mammalia; Rodentia; Muridae
Description: long non-coding RNA NONRATT031663
Source: RNAcentral
GUCAACACUAGGAUAGCAGUGAGGGCCUGGGAGAGAAAACCUUCUCUGGUCAGGAGACUACGGUCUCAGGCCUGGCUGGAGACCUACCCCUCAGGUUGGACUGGACAAUCACCUAGUCAAGAGACCACCUCUAGGAAGGGGCACGCAAGGAGGUGUCCUUAAUUCAGGCUAAUGAAGUAGGCGGAAUAAUUAAUCCUUUCGUGAGUUACAGCACCUUUACUCUCUGAAUCCCUGACCUUAGCCCGGAGAUGAUUGAACUGCAUCUAUGUAGAUCCAGAUAUAUUGACUUGAGUUUUGUGAAGUAUUCAGGAAAGUGUCUCUGAUCCCACUACCUUCCUGAGUUUACUGAUUGUGGAACAAGCAAACAAACAGAUAGCAAGCAAGAACUACAAGCGGCAGACACAGGACGGGAACCGGCUCAGGAAGAGGUGGUUAUAUCAGCAGAGUUCCGACUGUGUCUCUCCAUUGAAGGCCUUGGCUUUUGCCUUCCCUGUUCUCUCUACAAGCAUCUCAGACC